UGGGGGAUAUUGCACAAUGGGCGAAAGCCUGAUGCAGCGACGCCGCGUGGGGGAUGAAGGCUUUCGGGUUGUAAACCUCUUUCGCUAUCGAACAAGGCCCGCUUAGGGUGGGUUGAGGGUAGGUGGAGAAGAAGCGCCGGCUAACUACGUGCCAGCAGCCGCGGUAAUACGUAGGGCGCGAGCGUUGUCCGGAAUUAUUGGGCGUAAAGGGCUUGUAGGCGGCUUGUUGCGCCUGCUGUGAAAACGCGGGGCUUAACUUCGCGCGUGCAGUGGGUACGGGCAGGCUUGAGUGUGGUAGGGGUGACUGGAAUUCCAGGUGUAGCGGUGGAAUGCGCAGAUAUCUGGAGGAACACCGAUGGCGAAGGCAGGUCACUGGGCCAUUACUGACGCUGAGGAGCGAAAGCAUUGGUAGCGAACAGG
Molecule: ribosomal RNA, 420 nt
Filed under: bacterium
Lineage: Bacteria
Description: partial 16S ribosomal RNA
Rfam family: Bacterial small subunit ribosomal RNA
Source: RNAcentral